CCUACGGGAGGCAGCAGUGAGGAAUAUUGGUCAAUGGGCGGAAGCCUGAACCAGCCAAGUAGCGUGCAGGAUGACGGCCCUACGGGUUGUAAACUGCUUUUAUACGGGAAUAACGCGCCUUACGUGUAGGGCUUUGCAUGUACCGUAUGAAUAAGGACCGGCUAAUUCCGUGCCAGCCGCCGCGGUAAUACGGAAGGUCCGUGCGUUCGCCAGAUUUAUUGGGUUUAAAGGGAGCGUAGGCCGCAUGUCAAGCGUGCUGUGAAAUGUCAGGGCUCAACCCGGGCCUUGCAGCGCGAACUGGCGUGCUAGAGUCCGCGGAAAGCAGGCGGAAUUCGUCGUGUAGCGGUGAAAUGCUUAGAUAUGACGAAGAACCCCGAUUGCGAAGGCAGCUUGCUGCAGCGGAACUGACGCUGAUGCUCGAAAGCGCGGGUAUCGAACAGGAUUAGAUACCCGGGUAGUC
RNAcentral lists this ribosomal RNA (460 nucleotides) under uncultured bacterium. RNAcentral describes it as "partial 16S ribosomal RNA". It matches the Rfam family "Bacterial small subunit ribosomal RNA", at positions 338 to 795 of the family's 1533-position model. The record is from RNAcentral.